RNAcentral lists this long non-coding RNA (385 nucleotides) under Rattus norvegicus (Norway rat). RNAcentral's name for it is "long non-coding RNA NONRATT032159". Lineage: Eukaryota; Metazoa; Chordata; Mammalia; Rodentia; Muridae. The record is from RNAcentral.
CUACAAUUUACACAGAAACCAGAGAGUCAGUUAAAGCUCCUCUGAUGCCUUCUUGUGGAGUGAAGCUAUGCGGAGGAUUACAAAACAAUCAAGGAACAUUAUUCAGAGAGACGCGGAUGGCGAGAAGAAAAGUCUGUAGGAGUUUUGAGCAAGGAAGGAUUAUUAAGUCACGUAGAGACUACCUAAGUCACUGGGCGCUGAACAUUGGGAGAAAAAUGCAUUUACCAUCACAAAGCAGCAAAUUAACAGCACAAGUAAAUCUGUGUGCAGUUAGCUGUCCUGGAAGGGUUGCUGCUCACAGUUUGAAGUAAUAAACUUGGAAAUUUUCUUUUUGUAGUUACUAAAGAAACAAAAUCAAAAUGAGAAAAAUUUUUAUCAAUUAUUC